AGUAAGAGUAAAAUAUUAGAUUCUCUUUAUUAUUAGCAUCAAGUGAUUUGAUGAACACAUUAAAUAUACAUUUAAUGAUAUUAGAGCACUCCGAAUCGGUGAGGCAUAUUACCAAAAAUUGUAAAAAACAGUUAGCUAAAACUAAGAAAAAUGAUGGGCGCCAGAGACUAUUUUAGCACUUCUGAUUUCGGUAAGUUCUAGUCCUCAACCUCUCUCUUUCAAAGGGUUGGUGCUCGUCUUCUCUCUAUGUUCAAGGUUGCCAAAGACCACGACAGAGCUCAGAAGUUGUCUAGUUCGUGCUCCUCAUUCCCCUCCCCUCCUCACAGUGCUUAUCUUCUCUCCUCAUUACACCCACACCAGCCACUUUAGCAUCUCAGACUCAGACACGCCCACUCUCUUUCAAUCAGGUGUGGCAAUGGAUUUUGGUUCGGUAGAGUGAGUGAAGUUACCUUAGGCGUGGUUUCGUGGUUGCGGCGGCACCGAGCUUGCUAGAUAUUUCAAAGAAUCACCAAGUGAGAAAGAAGUACACCAUUAAGCUUGGCGAGAAUGAGCUUGUCCUCAAGGUCAUUUACACUCUUUCCAAUUCGUUUUCUAUUUUAAAAUUUAUGUUUGGUACCCGUGUAAAUAAUUAUUUUUGAGGUGAUAUUUUAUGAUUAAAGCUCGACCCGCCAAUGCAAAUGUGCGCAAGAGAAUUGAAUACAUCUCUGUUGAAUUGAAGCGGCUUGAUGGAACUCUUCAAGAUUUAGAAGAGAAGAAAAAUGGCAAAAAAGAAGCGGUUUGUGUUCUUUCUCUCACUUCAUAUGUGUCUUAUUUGGUAUUUUUUAUAAUAAGGUUUAAAUCGUUUGAUUCUGGGGUAGUUUGAACUUUUUCGCAUUCUUCUUAUUCUAAGUAGUGCAAUUUUUCUUUUUUCCUGUAGAUUGAUUUAUGAAUAGGUUGUGAUGAUAUAUAUGUAUGGCUUUCAAGGAUUUAUUAUUAUGAACUGUUAUGUUAGCUGUGAUUAUAUUGGUUAUUUAUAUGCUGAUUCUCAUUCAAGGUUUAUUUUUCACAGAUCUGAAAUAGAAUGUAUCUAGGUACGCAGAGGCUUCUAGUACUCUUAAGGUGCAUUUUUUAUGAGGUGUUAUAGGGAUGUGAAUGAGAAUCUGAAAACAUUCAUGUGGUCUCACAAAAUCUUUACCUGAAAAGUUAUUCUUGGGCUUUUAGCUUCCUCAAAAUGGCCUGGAAAGCUAAGCCACCAGCACAUUUUUGUCUCCAAAUAAUUUUCAAUUAUAUGGUUAAAAUCAUCAUUAAAUUUUAUUAAGCUUCAUAAUAAUUUAAUAGGUUUUAAGCAUAUUAAGUCUUGCAAAUUCUUUUCAACAUUGUCUCAAUAUUUAUCUUAUAUAGCACAUUAAAUAGGUUUUAAUAGGUGUUGUAUUUUAAUGCUGUCACAUGUUGCAAAAUGGCUAUGUUAUCAGUACAGUGUUUCUCACUUGUGGUCAAUAUGUGCCGAGGAACUAAAAUGAUUAUAUUUAUAAUAUAUAUUUGGUAUGUUUGAGCUUCAACAAGUCUUAAAUAGUACUCAUUUGGAGUUUUUAUUAUGCUUAUAAAAGGAACCCUGCAAUCUUUCUCACUCUUAAAUAUAUUUCUAGAAAAAUAAUGCUAGUGUCAUAUUCAACAAAUAUGCUUCACUUUACCCAAUUAAUUGUUUAGAUAGAUGGAUGUGAUAAUUUAGAUGUCCUAGUUACUCUUUAAACUUUAAUGACUUGUGCUUUUGUCAAAAUAAGAUGCCAUUCUUGGAUGCAGUUAAGUUGGUUGUGUUUUCUUUCCAAAUUAUCUCUUGGAUAUUUUUAGCAACCAAUAUGAGCUAACUUCUCAAGCUAUCUUGGGUUAUAACUAACUGAUCCUUUUAGAAUAUAUAGACAGAGUGCUCUCAGUUGAUAAUGCUCACUUUAAAACUUGAGUUAUAACUAACUGAUCCUUUUAAAUUUCAUAAAGGUAUUUCCCAACAUUUAUUUAAUUGGCAUGUUUUCCAUUAUUGAUUCUCAAGUAAUUAGCUUGAUCUGUUUCGGUAUGAUUUCCAACAAUGGCGUUCUUACUUAUCUAGUUCUUUUUGGUUUUUAAUGACUGAUUUAUAAAAGAAUUGUUUUUGUUUUUAUGGUUUGUUUAAGCAAAUUAUGUUGUAGUAAUCUUAGAGCUUAAUUCUCUGUUCCCUUUGAGAUUUAUUAUUAUAGCAAUGUUUAUAUAUCUUUAAUAGUAUCUAAAAUGAUAUCUACUCCAAGUCUGGGGCUUUUGGAUUUGUUUUAUAAACUAUUUAGCUUCUUGAAGUUGUUGAGAAAAUGGAGAGAAUAAAUGAGAGUGAUCAUAAUCUUCCUAUAACAAAGUUGGUUUAACUUUAUCACAGAUCCUCCUCUCUCUCUCUCUUUUAAAUUAUUGAGAAUUAGUUGGCAUUUAAAGCAUUGCAACAUACAUAUUAUAUAUGGAAGAAAUUUAUGAUUAUCUCUUGUCAGAUUUUGAAGGAUGGACUCACAACUCCAUGGGGUUCAUUCCUUCACUACACUGUUACAAGAGGGGGAAGAAAGCUACAAUGACUAUCUCCCAUCUUUGAAUGACUUAGAGUCGCAAUAUACUCCAUCCAAUCUAGAAGAUGGGAGUAGUAGAAAAACUAAAUCUAGAAAAAGAUAUUUUAGCACUGAAAAUGACAAAUUGCUAGUUUUAGCUUGGCUGAACUAGUAUGGACCCAAUCAAUGGGGUUGAUCAAUCAAAAUAUUCAUUUUGGUUUAGAGUUCAUGAAUAUUAUGAGAAAAACAAAAAAUCUAUAUCUUCUGAACGUAGUUCAUGCUCUAUUAGAAAUAGAUGGUCUACUAUCCAACUUGCUACAAAUAAGUUUUGUGGGGCCUUAGCUCAAAUUGAAAGAAGGUCUCCAAGUGGGGCUAAUGAGCAAGAUAAGGUGCACGAAUAAUAUAAUAUAAUUUCUAUUAUAUAUAACACUUUGAAUUAUAUAUUUCUCAUCUCUUUUACUUGAUUUUCAGAUUGAGAAAGCCAAAGAGUUCUACCGAAGUAUCCAUCCCACUUCAUUCAACUUUCUUCAUUGUUGGACUAUUCUACGACACCAUCCAAAAUGGAAAGAAUCAAUGGCUGAGGGUAGCAGUAUGAAAGCUUAAAGAAGAUCAAUAAUUCGAGAUGGUCAUGCACCAGAGUUCAUAGAUGAAGAUACUGUAGCACCAUCUUUAGAUGUGAAUUUAGAGAGACCAAUAGGAAAGAAGGC
Humulus lupulus (European hop) is the source of this 3241-nucleotide long non-coding RNA. RefSeq lists it as uncharacterized. NCBI's taxonomy places the organism in Eukaryota, Viridiplantae, Streptophyta, Magnoliopsida, Rosales, Cannabaceae. The record is from RefSeq and is a predicted model, not a curated record. The transcript is spliced from 5 exons.